This 339-nucleotide ribosomal RNA is filed under the name uncultured bacterium. RNAcentral's name for it is "partial 16S ribosomal RNA". It matches the Rfam family "Bacterial small subunit ribosomal RNA", at positions 338 to 688 of the family's 1533-position model. The record is from RNAcentral.
CCUACGGGUGUCAGCAGUCGAGAAUCAUUCACAAUGGGGGAAACCCUGAUGGUGCGACGCCGCGUGGGGGAAUGAAGGUCUUCGGAUUGUAAACCCCUGUCAUGUGGGAGCAAAUUAAAAAGAUAGUACCACAAGAGGAAGAGACGUCUAACUCUGUGCCAGCAGCCGCGGUAAUACAGAGCACUCAAGCGUUGUUCGGAAUCACUGGGCGUAAAGCGUGCGUAGGCUGUUUCGUAAUGCGUGUGUGAAAGGUGAGGGAUCAACCCGCGGACGGCAGAUGAGACGGCGAGACUAGAGGAGUGGAGAGGGAACCGGAAUUCGCGGUGGAGCGGUGAAAUG